RNAcentral lists this ribosomal RNA (323 nucleotides) under uncultured eukaryote. Its description in RNAcentral is "partial 18S ribosomal RNA". It matches the Rfam family "Eukaryotic small subunit ribosomal RNA", at positions 1470 to 1796 of the family's 1831-position model. The record is from RNAcentral.
CCCUUAGAUGUUCUGGGCCGCACGCGCGCUACACUGAUGCAUGCAACGAGUUCUAUCCUUGGCCGGAAGGCCUGGGUAAUCUGUGAACGUGCAUCGUGAUAGGGACAGAUUAUUGCAAUUAUUAAUCUUGAACGAGGAAUUCCUAGUAAACGCAAGUCAUCAGCUUGCAUUGAUUACGUCCCUGCCCUUUGUACACACCGCCCGUCGCACCUACCGAUCGAAGGUAAUGAUGAGCCCUCAGGAUUGUGGCCUCGUCGCGUCAGCGUCUUGGCUGCGAGAAUCUGUGCAAAUCCCUACCUUUAGAGGAAGGUGAAGUCGUANCA